GUGAGCUGUCUAGCUUGGAUCCACAACUUUUGGAGUCACUGCCUUCAUAUCUAUUUCUGUCCUUUAUUUUAGAAAAUUAUAUUUUGAGAAUGUUGUAUUUCUCCAUCUUUAGUCGCUCAUGACUUGUAUUACUAGUCCUUGUGGGUUGUAUUUGGAGUAUUCCACGCUUAUGUAUUAUCAGAUUUAGACUUAUGAUCUUAUCCAUGUUUAGACUUGUUUAUGUCUCUAUGGUAUCCGGAUUUGUUCCAAGGGUCUAUCGGAAGCAACAUAUCUAUUCCAUCGGGGUAAGGGUAAGGUCUGCGUACUCACUGCCCUCCCUAGACUCCACUAGUGAGAUUUUACUAAGUUGUUGUUGUUGUUGGUAUACGGAUUUGUUGGAUAUGCUUUGUUGGUUCGCCUAAGAGUUUGGGUUAGGUGUCAUAACGAUCUUGGUGGAACUUUGGAUCGUGAAAAAUAUUCCUAUUUUAAACUAUUUUUAGUCCUUCAUAUUCAACUAUAAGGAG
This 503-nucleotide long non-coding RNA is filed under the name Nicotiana benthamiana. Its description in RNAcentral is "long non-coding RNA (NBEN_LNC002904)". The record is from RNAcentral. Lineage: Eukaryota; Viridiplantae; Streptophyta; Magnoliopsida; Solanales; Solanaceae.